GAUCAUGGCUCAGGAUGAACGCUAGCUACAGGCUUAACACAUGCAAGUCGAGGGGAAACGACAUCGAAAGCUUGCUUCUGAUGGGCGUCGACCGGCGCACGGGUGAGUAACGCGUAUCCAACCUGCCCAUCACUUGGGAAUAACCUUGCGAAAGUAAGACUAAUGCCCAAUGAUAUCCCACGAAGGCAUCCGAAUGGGAUUAAAGAUUUAUCGGUGAUGGAUAGGGGAUGCGU
Molecule: ribosomal RNA, 233 nt
Filed under: uncultured bacterium
Lineage: Bacteria
Description: partial 16S ribosomal RNA
Rfam family: Bacterial small subunit ribosomal RNA
Source: RNAcentral